GUCUAUGGCCAUACUACUCUGAACAUGCUUGAUCUCAGAAGUGGGCCUGGUUAGUACUUGGACUGCCCGGAAAUACCAGGUGCUAUAUACA
RNAcentral lists this ribosomal RNA (91 nucleotides) under Mesocricetus auratus (golden hamster). Lineage: Eukaryota; Metazoa; Chordata; Mammalia; Rodentia; Cricetidae. The record is from RNAcentral.